UUCUCCUGGAAAACGGGUGGUAAUGCCGGAUGUUCCACAUGAUCGCAUGUGAUUGUGGGAAAGAUUCUAUCGGCGUGGGAUGGGGUCGCGUCCUAUCAGCUUGUUGGUGAGGUAACGGCUCACCAAGGCUUCGACGGGUAGCCGGCCUGAGAGGGCGACCGGCCACAUUGGGACUGAGAUACGGCCCAGACUCCUACGGGAGGCAGCAGUGGGGAAUAUUGCACAAUGGGCGCAAGCCUGAUGCAGCGACGCCGCGUGAGGGAUGGAGGCCUUCGGGUUGUAAACCUCUUUUGUUUGGGAGCAAGCCUUCGGGUGAGUGUACCUUUCGAAUAAGCGCCGGCUAACUACGUGCCAGCAGCCGCGGUAAUACGUAGGGCGCAAGCGUUAUCCGGAUUUAUUGGGCGUAAAGGGCUCGUAGGCGGCUCGUCGCGUCCGGUGUGAAAGUCCAUCGCUUAACGGUGGAUCUGCGCCGGGUACGGGCGGGCUGGAGUGCGGUAGGGGAGACUGGAAUUCCCGGUGUAACGGUGGAAUGUGUAGAUAUCGGAAAAA
Molecule: ribosomal RNA, 549 nt
Filed under: Bifidobacterium bifidum
Lineage: Bacteria; Bacillati; Actinomycetota; Actinomycetes; Bifidobacteriales; Bifidobacteriaceae
Description: bacterial SSU rRNA
Rfam family: Bacterial small subunit ribosomal RNA
Source: RNAcentral